UACGGAGGGUGCAAGCGUUGUCCGGAUUUAUUGGGUUUAAAGGGUGCGUAGGUGGCUUGUUAAGUCCGGGGUGAAAGCCCACAGCUCAACUGUGGAACUGCCCUGGAUACUAGCGGGCUUGAGUCCAGACGAGGUUGGCGGAAUGGAAGCUGUAGCGGUGAAAUGCAUAGAUAGCUUCCAGAACCCCGAUUGCGUAGGCAGCUGACUAGGCUGGUACUGACACUGAGGCACGAAAGCGUGGGGAGCGAACAGG
RNAcentral lists this ribosomal RNA (253 nucleotides) under uncultured bacterium. RNAcentral describes it as "partial 16S ribosomal RNA". It matches the Rfam family "Bacterial small subunit ribosomal RNA", at positions 524 to 776 of the family's 1533-position model. The record is from RNAcentral.